This 1301-nucleotide ribosomal RNA is filed under the name Panchlora nivea. RNAcentral's name for it is "16S ribosomal RNA". The stretch from base 1064 to 1222 matches the Rfam family "Archaeal large subunit ribosomal RNA", at positions 2542 to 2701 of the family's 2987-position model. Lineage: Eukaryota; Metazoa; Arthropoda; Insecta; Blattodea; Blaberidae. The record is from RNAcentral.
UUAGAAAUAAUUUAUUAUAUUUCUUUAUUUUGUAAAUUGUUUUGAAAAUCAUUUAUUAUUGUUUUUGUAUUUGUUAAAGAUUAAAUUUUUUAUAUUAUAAAUUAUUUGUACCGUGAGGGAUUAGGAAUGGUUUAUUUUUAGUUAGUAAGUUUAAUUGAUUAUUAGUACCUUGUGUAUCAGGGUUAAUUAAAUUAUUUUUAUAUAAGUUAAAUUUCUCGAUUCUAUUAGAGUUAAUUAAUUAAUCUUUUUAUAGUAGUAAAUUUAUUUAUAAUAUUUGAUUGGUAAUGAAAUGUUAAUCGUUAAUAGGGAUUUCUAGUUUUUUGGGAAAUAAAUUUAAUUUACAUUUUUUAUUUAAUUAUUUAAAUUUUUAUAAAUAAUUUAAUAUAAUAUGAAUAUUCAAGGGGAUUAGCUCUUGAAUAGAUUUAUUAUAAGAUAAAAUAGUAUCACUAAAAUUUUAUGAUUUUAAUAAUAAUUAUUAAUAUGAGUUUGUUAUAAUAUUAUUUUUAUAUCUUUUUAUUUAUUAUUCUUUAAUUUAUUUACUAGAAUUUAUUAUAUAAUUUUUAUUUAUUUUUAAUAAUGAUUAAAUUAGUAUAAAUUUUUAAUUUUAUUUUAUUUUUUUUUUGUUAAGUUGGGUUAAGGAAUUAGGCAAAAAAAAAUUAUCCGCCUGUUUAACAAAAACAUCUCUUCUUGAUCUUUAUGUGAAGUAUAACCUGCCCAAUGAAUAAAUUUAAUGGCCGCGGUAUAUUGACCGUGCAAAGGUAGCAUAAUCAUUAGUCUUUUAAUUGGGGGCUGGAAUGAAUGGUUGGACGAGAUAAAUUCUGUCUUUAUUUAAUUUAUUUUGAAUUUAAUUAUUAAGUUAAAAAGCUUAAAUUUUUUUAUGGGACGAGAAGACCCUAUAGAGUUUAUAUAAAUUUUUACUAGAUUUUGGUUUGUUAAAGUAUUAUUUUAUAAAUUUAUUUUGUUGGGGUGAUGGAAAGAUAAUUGUAGCUCUUUCUUUAUUAUAAUUAAUUAUAAUUAUUUAUUUGAUCCAUUAUUAAUGAUUAUAAGACUAAAUUACCUUAGGGAUAACAGCGUAAUCUUUUUUGAGAGUUCUUAUCGACAAAAAGGAUUGCGACCUCGAUGUUGGAUUAAGAUAUAAUUUGAGUGUAGAAGCUUAAAAGUUAAGUCUGUUCGACUUUUAAAAUCUUACAUGAUCUGAGUUCAAACCGGCGUGAGCCAGGUUGGUUUCUAUCUAUUAUGAAAUUUUAUAUCUUAGUACGAAAGGACCAGAUAUUGAAAAUAAUUUUUUUUUAUUUGAUUAU